AACUGUAUGCAUAUCCGGUCAAAAGGUAAAUCAAUCAAAAUUGAAAAUUGAAACCACUAUUUCUCAAUUUCAGCCAAUUGAAUCGAUCAACACCAAUCGAAUAUGUUGCUACAUUGUUGCACCCUUCCUCAUCCACGUUAUAUAUCAUCUCGGUGCUCUUCAAUCUUUGGUACCCUAAAUACCUCUACCAUCGGAUCAUUCUCCUUCACCAUCGAUGCAAUGACAAACCCUGGCUACCACAAUCUUCAAACUCCUUCAUCAAAGAUCAUAGCAAGCCAUCACCCGCUCGGCCAUUUACCAUCACAAUCACGAUCUGGUGGCAGAGAAUCGACACUUGGUCUACACAUAUACAGUAAGAUGACUAAUUACACAGGUAUGCUCUUGAUUUUCUGGUUUGGCGAGUUGGCUAUCCCCUUUCUGGAAAAGGUCGAACUCCUCCGAGAAAAAAGUUAAAAAUCGAGAGGUGAUAUAUAUAACAAAAAAACCUUGAAAUCAGUCCAACGACUCUAAUCUCCUCAUCUCCUAGAACAUUUACAAGACUCCUUUAUUAGAUUUUUUUUUGAUGAAAACCUGCAAUAGAGGAGCCAUUAUGAGGAGGAUUCAGACCACUUUAAAAGGUAACUGUCAAAUGCGACCCUUUGUUUUUUUAUGGGAAACUACAAGAAAAGAAAGACCACUUUGUUUACAGCUGCCAAUGAUAUAUCAGAGCAACAAGAAAAGAAAUUAUGGUCCAUUUUGGUUAUUGGAACAUUGUGAGUACAAAUUUUCUUACUAUUUCUUUUACUAAAAUCAUAUCAAGAGGGUUAAAUCUUCUAUUCUCAAAUCCAAUUUCUUUUACUUUUUCUUUUACUAAAAUCACAUCAAAAGAUUGAUAUAUUGACUCUUGACAUUGGUGUGGUAUAUAGAUAUGUUUCACAAAAUCAAUAUAAGUAUCUCUAUUUACCAUUAGAUCCAACACAAAAUAAAGAGUACGUUGCAAUUUUCUCUAUUGGAGGGCCUAAUUCUCGAGUUUUGGUUAUAAAGAAUCGGAAGCAAGCUAAGCAUUAUCAUAUAUAUACAAAGAAGGUUGCUAUUUUCUGCAUUCCUUUGAGCUACAGUUCAUUGGCUAUGUUAAGUUACUUAAAGGUUUUGACACUGAUAUUUGCCGGAACCAAUCCUGGUUACACAACUUGUAAAAUUGUAAUGGAAACUGCUACUGUUAUGCAAGAAUUGACCCAGUCAAGGUAAGUAGAUUUUUGUAAACUGCCCUAAAACUUUCAUUACUUCACAUAAAAAACUUUCAUCUGUUACUGAUUUAACAAAAUUGAUUUAAAUACUUAAUUCAGUUCGAUAUAUUUGCCUUUUUCUUGUGGUGUUGUAUGACCAUAUGAUGUUGACUCCUUAUUGCUGGAUUUGAUGACAAGUAUCCUCGACUAUAAGUAUUAACAAAAUUGAGAUGCUCUUUUUCAUGAUUUAUUGCUUUAAUUGUUUUAAAAUGCAUAUUUCUUUCCUUAUUGGCAUAUAACUAAAAAAUAACAUUUUUAAAGUGCUAAUCUAUAGAGAUACAAUUCUUUUACCAUUGGCUCUAGAAUGAUCAACAUAUUAUUAGAGAUUUAGAUCACUAAAAGAAUAAAUAGAUAUAUCAUGCAUGUAGAUCCCCCAUGUUUAUACUUUCCCUCUAUGUCUCUAUCUAAAACUCGCCACUGUCACAAUGAUUGCUACUUGGUUUGGAAUGAAAACUCAAAUUGAUUGGAGUUUGGUUUAUGUAUAGUUAGGUUUCAAGAGGUCAAUCAGCUAUGUAUUCUCAUGUUAACAACAAAAGUAUCAUAAUUAUGCAAUUUAUAAUUUUUUAUAGAGCAUUUAAGAAUUUUUGUUAACAGAAAAUGGGACAUUUUGUCAUUUUUGAACUCUGCAUCCAUUAAUGGAGGCUGCAUAAGGCUGCAUUUCUGGGUCUUCAAUAUUUUAUCACAUGAUGGUGGAGGUUUUUUUAAUUUUUCAAUGUGUGCUUAUUGUUGACUGUUUGACUAUUUAUGAAAUGUCUAAAUUAGCCUUUGAUUUGUAAGUGAAUUGUUGAGGUAGCUCAUAUGGGGAGGUUUUGAGUCAAUUAUUGGUCUUGUGAAAAGGUGUCGAGGGUUUUCAGUUAAUUAGUGAUCUUGAUCUUGUGAAAAGAUAGAUUAUGAGCAAAUGGCUCUUCAUUUUGCUAAGAAAGUAAGAAUUUUACGAAGAAAAGAAGAAUUUUCAACGCUGCUGAUAUCAUUACUGCACCUUAUUGUAAAUUAGAGUAUUGUAAUAGAUAUCCUGAAAUUUAAAUACAUGUUUUAGUUUGAUGGAUGAUAA
This is a long non-coding RNA of Lactuca sativa (garden lettuce), 2316 nucleotides long. RefSeq lists it as uncharacterized. The record is from RefSeq and is a predicted model, not a curated record. Lineage: Eukaryota; Viridiplantae; Streptophyta; Magnoliopsida; Asterales; Asteraceae.